This 467-nucleotide ribosomal RNA is filed under the name uncultured bacterium. RNAcentral's name for it is "bacterial SSU rRNA". It matches the Rfam family "Bacterial small subunit ribosomal RNA", at positions 328 to 792 of the family's 1533-position model. The record is from RNAcentral.
GUACCAGACUCCUACGGGAGGCAGCAGUGAGGAAUAUUGGUCAAUGGCCGAGAGGCUGAACCAGCCAAGUCGCGUGAAGGAUGACGGCCCUACGGGUUGUAAACUUCUUUUGUCAGGGAGCAAUUGAGUCCACGUGUGGGCUUAGCGAGAGUACCUGAAGAAAAAGCAUCGGCUAACUCCGUGCCAGCAGCCGCGGUAAUACGGAGGAUGCGAGCGUUAUCCGGAUUUAUUGGGUUUAAAGGGUGCGUAGGCGGAAUAUCAAGUCAGCGGUAAAAAUUCGGGGCUCAACCCCGUCGUGCCGUUGAAACUGGCGUUCUUGAGUGGGCGAGAAGUAUGCGGAAUGCGUGGUGUAGCGGUGAAAUGCAUAGAUAUCACGCAGAACUCCGAUUGCGAAGGCAGCAUACCGGCGCCCAACUGACGCUGAAGCACGAAAGCGUGGGUAUCGAACAGGAUUAGAUACCCCGGUA